This 482-nucleotide ribosomal RNA is filed under the name uncultured bacterium. RNAcentral describes it as "partial 16S ribosomal RNA". It matches the Rfam family "Bacterial small subunit ribosomal RNA", at positions 28 to 523 of the family's 1533-position model. The record is from RNAcentral.
GACGAACGCUGGCGGCGUGCUUAACACAUGCAAGUCGAACGAUGAAGAAGAGCUUGCUCUUCGGAUUAGUGGCGAACGGGUGAGUAACACGUGACUAACCUGCCCCUUUCUCUGGGAUAACGCUCCGAAAGGAGUGCUAAUACCGGAUACUCACAUCGAGGCACAUGCCUUGAUGUGGAAAGUUUUUCGGAAAGGGAUGGAGUCGCGGCCUAUCAGCUUGUUGGUGAGGUAACGGCUCUCCAAGGCGACGACGGGUAGCCGGCCUGAGAGGGCGACCGGCCACACUGGGACUGAGACACGGCCCAGACUCCUACGGGAGGCAGCAGUGGGGAAUAUUGCACAAUGGGCGAAAGCCUGAUGCAGCGACGCCGCGUGAGGGAUGAAGGUCUUCGGAUUGUAAACCUCUUUCAGUAGGGACGAAGCGAAAGUGACGGUACCUAAAGAAGAAGCACCGGCUAACUACGUGCCAGCAGCCGCCGUAA